Long non-coding RNA from Lolium perenne, 677 nucleotides. RefSeq lists it as uncharacterized. The record is from RefSeq and is a predicted model, not a curated record. Lineage: Eukaryota; Viridiplantae; Streptophyta; Magnoliopsida; Poales; Poaceae.
UGCCUCAUUUCUUUUCACUCCCUACUAUUUCCUCCACUCCCUCACACUCUCCUCCUCCACUUUCCCACGAAAAUGGUGCUCCCCUUGCUCCCAUGGCCGGCCAUGGCCAUGGCAAGCCACCAAGAUGAAGCUCUCCCUCUCCCUCAAGCUCCUCCUCACCAUGAGAGCCUCCCUCUCCUUCUUCUCCCCAACCCUAGAUGGUUUUCUCUCCUCUUCUUCUUCCUCCCUUGCUAAGAUUGGAUCUUGAUGCAGGUGCAUGUUGGUCCAAGCAUGGAGAAGCUUGAGCUAUCCUCAGAUCUGAAGUUCUUGAGCAAAAUCCAAAUCGAGUGAUUCAAAGUUCCGCAGAUAGGUAUUGAAAAGAUCUACAACUUGGCGUUGGUCUCAUCCUCAAAUUCGUUACGGAUUUUGCAUGUUCAAGAUCUGGUCAGAUCUGACUUUGUCGAAUUAAACCAGGAGCUUGGGAACGAAUUUUUGAAUGAAACCAAUUGGGGGAUGUUGGGUUAUACCAUGGUGAUAACCGAGAGAGGCAAUUGCUAAGUUGUGAUACUCUCAUACCUUUACUAGACGCGAGCAAUUCCGGAGAAGAAGAAGAAGUGGAAUUGGACAAGGAUUUUAUUUAUAUUGUUGGGAUUCUUAUAUUGAUAGAGUUGAAGAAGUACAGGGACAAAUAAGCCAAG